CAGUAGCCGCGGUAAUACGGAGGGUGCAAGCGUUAAUCGGAAUUACUGGGCGUAAAGCGCACGCAGGCGGUCUGACAAGUCAGAUGUGAAAUCCCCGGGCUUAACCUGGGAACUGCAUUUGAAACUGUCAGGCUGGAGUCUUGUAGAGGGGGGUGGAAUUCCAGGUGUAGCGGUGAAAUGCGUAGAGAUCUGGAGGAAUACCGGUGGCGAAGGCGGCCCCCUGGACAAAGACUGACGCUCAGGUGCGAAAGCGUGGGGAGCAAACAGGUUUAGAUACCCCGGUAGUCCCUGUCUCUUAUAC
This 301-nucleotide ribosomal RNA is filed under the name uncultured bacterium. Its description in RNAcentral is "partial 16S ribosomal RNA". It matches the Rfam family "Bacterial small subunit ribosomal RNA", at positions 509 to 807 of the family's 1533-position model. The record is from RNAcentral.